UACGUAGGGUGCGAGCGUUAAUCGGAAUUACUGGGCGUAAAGGGUGCGCAGGCGGUCUCGUAAGCUGGGUGUGAAAGCCCCGGGCUUAACCUGGGAAUGGCAUUCAGGACUGCGAGGCUUUGAGUGCGGUAGGGGAGAUUGGAAUUCCUGGUGUAGCGGUGGAAUGCGCAGAUAUCAGGAGGAACACCGAUGGCGAAGGCAGAUCUCUGGGCCGUAACUGACGCUGAGGAGCGAAAGCGUGGGGAGCGAACAGG
Molecule: ribosomal RNA, 254 nt
Filed under: uncultured bacterium
Lineage: Bacteria
Description: partial 16S ribosomal RNA
Rfam family: Bacterial small subunit ribosomal RNA
Source: RNAcentral